ACGGGGUGCAGCAGGCGCGAAAACUUUGCAAUAAGCGAAAGCUUGACAGGGCUAUCCCGAGUGCCAUCCGCUGAGGAAGGCUUUUACUCAGUCUAGAAAGCUGGGGGAAUAAGGAGAGGGCAAGUCUGGUGUCAGCCGCCGCGGUAAUACCAGCUCUCCGAGUGGUGUGGAUGUUUAUUGGGCCUAAAGCAUCCGUAGCUGGCUGAGUUAGUCCUUUGUUAAAUCCACCGAAUUAAUCGUUGGAUUGCGGGGGAUACUGCUCGGCUAGGGGACGAGAGAGGCAGACGGUAUUUUCGGGGUAGGGGUGAAAUCCUAUAAUCCCGGGAAGACCACCAGUGGCGAAGGCUGUCUGCUAGAACGCGCCCGACGGUGAGGGAUGAAAGCUGGGGGAGCGAACCGGAUUAGAUACCCGGGUAGUCCCAGCUGUAAACGAUGCAGGCUAGGUGUUUGGGCGGCCACGUGCCGCUCUAGUGCCGCAGGGAAGCUGUUAAGCCUGCCGCCUGGGGAGUACGAUCGCAAGAUUGAAACUUAAAGGAAUUGGGGGGAGCAC
This 550-nucleotide ribosomal RNA is filed under the name uncultured crenarchaeote. RNAcentral's name for it is "bacterial SSU rRNA". It matches the Rfam family "Archaeal small subunit ribosomal RNA", at positions 325 to 879 of the family's 1478-position model. Lineage: Archaea; Thermoproteati; Thermoproteota. The record is from RNAcentral.